GGUAGAGGGAGACAGGUAGGUAGAAAGAGACAGGUAGGUAGAGGGAGACAGGUAGGUAGAGGGAGACAGGUAUGUAGAGGGAGACAGGUAGGUAGAGGGAGACAGGUAGGUAGAGGGAGACAGGUAGGUAGACAAUGCCCCAUGCACAAAGUGUGGUCCAUACAGAAAUGGUUUGUGUGGAAGAACUUGAUUGGAAUUCACAGAGACCUGACCUCAACCCCAUCAAACACCUUUGGGAUGAAUUGGAACGCCGACUGAGAGCCUGAAGGCCUAAUUGCUCAGCAUCAGUGCCCAACCUCACUUCACUUCAGUCAGGUAAUCUGUUGGUUCUCACCUGUUAUUCCACUUCAGUCAGGUAAUCUGUUGGUUCUCACCUGUUAUUCCACUUCAGUCAGGUAAUCUGUUGGUUCUCACCUGUUAUUCC
This is a long non-coding RNA of Oncorhynchus tshawytscha (Chinook salmon), 424 nucleotides long. The record is from Ensembl. NCBI's taxonomy places the organism in Eukaryota, Metazoa, Chordata, Actinopteri, Salmoniformes, Salmonidae.